RNAcentral lists this ribosomal RNA (797 nucleotides) under uncultured Glomeraceae. RNAcentral describes it as "SSU rRNA". It matches the Rfam family "Eukaryotic small subunit ribosomal RNA", at positions 314 to 1114 of the family's 1831-position model. The record is from RNAcentral. Lineage: Eukaryota; Fungi; Glomeromycota; Glomeromycetes; Glomerales; Glomeraceae.
ACUAACUUUGAUGGUAGGAUAGAGGCCUACCAUGGUGGUAACGGGUAACGGGGUGUUAGGGCACGACACCGGAGAGGGAGCCUGAGAAACGGCUACCACAUCCAAGGAUGGCAGCAGGCGCGCAAAUUACCCAAUCCCGACACGGGGAGGUAGUGACAAUAAAUAACAAUACGGGGUUCUUUCGGAUCUCGUAAUUGGAAUGAGUACAAUUUAAAUCUCUUAACGAGGAACAAUUGGAGGGCAAGUCUGGUGCCAGCAACCGCGGUAAUUCCAGCUCCAAUAGCGUAUAUUAAAGUUGUUGCAGUUAAAAAGCUCGUAGUUGAAUUUCGGGAUCAGAUUGUCGGUCGUGCCUCGGUACGCACUGGCAUUAUUGGUUCCUACCUUCUGAAGAACCGCGAUGUCAUUAAUUUGGUGUCGUGGGGAAUCAGGACUGUUACUUUGAAAAAAUUAGAGUGUUUAAAGCAGGCGCACGCUUGAAUACAUUAGCAUGGAAUAAUGAAAUAGGACGUUUGAUUCUAUUUUGUUGGUUUCUAGGAUUGACGUAAUGAUUAAUAGGGAUAGUUGGGGGCAUUAGUAUUCAAUUGUCAGAGGUGAAAUUCUUGGAUUUAUUGAAGACUAACUACUGCGAAAGCAUUUGCCAAGGAUGUUUUCAUUAAUCAAGAACGAAAGUUAGGGGAUCGAAGACGAUCAGAUACCGUCGUAGUCUUAACCAUAAACUAUGCCGACUAGGGAUCGGAUGAUGUUAAUUUUUUAAUGACUCAUUCGGCGCCUUACGGGAAACCAAAGUGUUUGGGUUC